UAGGGAAUAUUAGUAAUGGGCGAAAGCCUGAACUAGCAACGCCGCGUGUGCGAAGAAGGCCUUCGGGUUGUAAAGCACUUUUUGAGAGGAUGAGGAAGGACGGUACUCUCAGAAUAAGUCUCGGCUAACUACGUGCCAGCAGCCGCGGUAACACGUAGGAGGCAAACGUUAUCCGGAUUUACUGGGCGUAAAGCGCGUGUAGGUGGUUUGGCAAGUAGGGCGUGAAAGCUCCUGGCUCAACUGGGAGAGGCCGUUCUAAACUGCUGAACUAGAGGAUGGUAGAGGGAGGUGGAAUUCCGGGUGUAGCGGUGGAAUGCGCAGAUAUCCGGAGGAACACCAGUGGCGAAAGCGGCCUCCUGGACCAUUCCUGACACUCAGACGCGAAAGCUAGGGUAGCAAACGG
This 403-nucleotide ribosomal RNA is filed under the name uncultured bacterium. Its description in RNAcentral is "bacterial SSU rRNA". It matches the Rfam family "Bacterial small subunit ribosomal RNA", at positions 355 to 775 of the family's 1533-position model. The record is from RNAcentral.